GCGGAUGUGAUGGAAUGGUAGACAUGUCAGACUCAAAAUCUGAUGCGCGCAAGCGUGUAACGGUUCAAGUCCGUUCAUCCGCACCA
RNAcentral lists this transfer RNA (86 nucleotides) under alpha proteobacterium QL1. RNAcentral describes it as "tRNA-Leu". It matches the Rfam family "tRNA". From Rfam's summary of the family: Transfer RNA (tRNA) molecules are approximately 80 nucleotides in length. RNAcentral also lists the same sequence under 1 other name. Lineage: Bacteria; Pseudomonadati; Pseudomonadota; Alphaproteobacteria; Candidatus Pelagibacterales; Candidatus Pelagibacteraceae. The record is from RNAcentral.